CCCUAGUUAGCUCAGUUGGUAGAGCAGUUGGUAGAGCGUUCCACUGGAAAUGGAGAGGUCCCAGGUUCGAUACCCGGACCAGGCA
Molecule: transfer RNA, 85 nt
Filed under: Ixodes scapularis (black-legged tick)
Lineage: Eukaryota; Metazoa; Arthropoda; Arachnida; Ixodida; Ixodidae
Description: tRNA-Ser
Rfam family: tRNA
About the family: Transfer RNA (tRNA) molecules are approximately 80 nucleotides in length. Their secondary structure includes four short double-helical elements and three loops (D, anti-codon, and T loops).
Source: RNAcentral